RNAcentral lists this ribosomal RNA (823 nucleotides) under uncultured marine bacterium. RNAcentral describes it as "bacterial SSU rRNA". It matches the Rfam family "Bacterial small subunit ribosomal RNA", at positions 37 to 856 of the family's 1533-position model. The record is from RNAcentral.
GGGCAGGAUGGAGUCUAUCGUGCAAGUGAGGGGCAGCAUAGCACUUCGGUGCUGAUGGCGACCGGCGAACGGGUGCGUAACGCGUAUGUAAUCUGCCUUGUACAGGAGGAUAGCUUCUGGAAACGGGAAUUAAUACUCCAUAUGGUCUUUUUAUCACAAGAUGAAUAGAUGAAAGCUCCGGCGGUACAAGAUGAACAUGCGUCCUAUUAGCUAGUUGGUAAGGUAAUGGCUUACCAAGGCGACGAUAGGUAGGGGGUCUGAGAGGAUGAUCCCCCACACUGGCACUGAGACACGGGCCAGACUCCUACGGGAGGCAGCAGUAGGGAAUAUUGGACAAUGGGCGCAAGCCUGAUCCAGCCAUGCCGCGUGCAGGAUGACAGUCCCAUGGAUUGUAAACUGCUUUUAUACAGGAGAAAUAAGCCCUUGCGAGGGCCUAUGAUCGUACUGUAAGAAUAAGCACCGGCUAACUCCGUGCCAGCAGCCGCGGUAAGACGGAGGGUGCAAGCGUUAUCCGGAUUUACUGGGUUUAAAGGGUACGUAGGCGGUCUUGUAAGUCAAUGGUGAAAUCUAGCAGCUCAACUGCUAACGUGCCAUUGAUACUGCUUGACUUGAGUAUAGUCGAGGUGGGCGGAAUUCUACAUGUAGCGGUGAAAUGCAUAGAUAUGUAGAGGAACACCGAUAGCGAAGGCAGCUCACUAGGCUAUUACUGACGCUGAGGUACGAAAGCGUGGGGAGCAAACAGGAUUAGAUACCCCGGUAGUCCACGCUGUAAAAGAUGGUCACUCCAUAUAUGCCACUUUAUGUGCAUGUGUCCCAAGCCAAA